Molecule: non-coding RNA, 84 nt
Organism: Caenorhabditis elegans
Lineage: Eukaryota; Metazoa; Nematoda; Chromadorea; Rhabditida; Rhabditidae
Source: Ensembl
CACACAAGAAACACCGAAUCUCACGCGCAAAAGUUUCACCCAACGUUGAGCCAUCCAUUUCUGUAUAUAACUUUUCUCCCGCCU